UACGUAGGGUGCGAGCGUUGUCCGGAAUUAUUGGGCGUAAAGCGCUCGUAGGCGGUCUGUCGCGUCGAUCGUGAAAACUUGGGGCUUAACCCUGAGCUUGCGGUCGAUACGGGCAUGACUGGAGUUCGGCAGGGGAGACUGGAAUUCCUGGUGUAGCGGUGAAAUGCGCAGAUAUCAGGAGGAACACCGGUGGCGAAGGCGGGUCUCUGGGCCGAUACUGACGCUGAGGAGCGCAAGCGUGGGGAGCAAACAGG
Molecule: ribosomal RNA, 254 nt
Filed under: uncultured bacterium
Lineage: Bacteria
Description: partial 16S ribosomal RNA
Rfam family: Bacterial small subunit ribosomal RNA
Source: RNAcentral